UUUAUUUUUAUAUAAGGAACACAAGAGAUUGCAGGCCCAGCCCAAAAACAAAUAUUAAUGCUUCGUAAUUAUAGCUUGGUCUGGUGGUCCGGUCCACUCAUCCUAUACAAAAUUUCUUGGCGGUUUAAGUAUUCCACAUGUCACACUGUAAGAUCAUAGAUUAACUGUCUCUCAUCAGAUAGCCGUACGAUCUUCGUAACCACAUAACUAAAAAGAAAAAGAAAAAAAAAAAAAAUUAAAAUUACUCGGCACAUUCACAUACGCGGAAAAAGAAAAGAAAAAGAUAAUAAAAAAAAAGCGAAUCGUUUUACUUACCUCUCUUUGAAACCGACGGUGGUCUUUUUCGCCGGAGAAGAUGAAGCAGAGAACCUGGCCUUGUAGAUCUGAAGGAUCUAGAUUCACCUCCUUAUCGUU
RNAcentral lists this long non-coding RNA (414 nucleotides) under Arabidopsis lyrata. RNAcentral describes it as "long non-coding RNA (ALYR_LNC002847)". Lineage: Eukaryota; Viridiplantae; Streptophyta; Magnoliopsida; Brassicales; Brassicaceae. The record is from RNAcentral.